This 460-nucleotide ribosomal RNA is filed under the name uncultured bacterium. Its description in RNAcentral is "partial 16S ribosomal RNA". It matches the Rfam family "Bacterial small subunit ribosomal RNA", at positions 338 to 795 of the family's 1533-position model. The record is from RNAcentral.
CCUACGGGAGGCAGCAGUGAGGAAUAUUGGUCAAUGGCCGAGAUGCUGAACCAGCAAAGUCGCGUGAGUGAAGACGGCCCUCCGGGUUGUAAACCUCUUUUGUCGGGGAGCAAAGAGAGUCACGUGUGACUCAUUGAGAGUACCCGAAGAAAAAGCAUCGGCUAACUCCGUGCCAGCAGCCGCGGUAAUACGGAGGGUGCAAGCGUUGUCCGGAGUCAUGGGGCGUAAAGAGUUCGUAGGCGGCAUGUAAAGUCAGGUGUUAAAGGCGCAGGCUCAACCUGUGUAUGGCACGUGAUACUUGCAAGCUGGAAUGCGGUAGAGGUAAAGGGAAUUCCUGGUGUAGCGGUGAAAUGCUUAGAGAUCAGGAGGAACAUCGGUGGCGUAAGCGCUUUACUGGGCCGUAAUUGACGCUGAGGAACGAAAGCCAGGGUAGCAAAUGGGAUUAGAUACCCCUGUAGUC